GUGCUUACUUUGACAGCACAUAUACUAAAAUUAGAAUGAUACAGAGAAGAUUAGCAUGGCACCUGUGCAAUGAUGACACGCAAGUUUGUGAAGCAUACAAUAUUUUU
Small nuclear RNA from Gorilla gorilla gorilla (western lowland gorilla), 107 nucleotides. Lineage: Eukaryota; Metazoa; Chordata; Mammalia; Primates; Hominidae. The record is from Ensembl.